GUUGGCCUUAAGAUGUUUGUAAGUAUAAAUUUAUGGGCUACUUUUAACACUUCUAUUAUAUUUUGCAUAUUCCUUUCUGGUGCCAUUGUUGUAGCAUUUUCCCACGUUUUCUCUUCUGUCUAUUUGGCUUGUCGGCGCUAUCCCCCAUAGAUUGACAAACUCAAAAGACAAUAGCCUACAACCCCAAGGAGUUAGCAAUAUUGCCAUGCUGAACUUAUUCUAGUCAAUGCUUUACCUACCAAAGCUUAUAAACCAUAGUUAUUAAAAGGCGUGCCUGAGGCUCAAGGCUCACCAGGCUUGAACCUUGGCGCUUAGGUGUGUGCCUUUGUUCCAGGC
This 336-nucleotide unclassified non-coding RNA is filed under the name Hevea brasiliensis (rubber tree). Lineage: Eukaryota; Viridiplantae; Streptophyta; Magnoliopsida; Malpighiales; Euphorbiaceae. The record is from RNAcentral.